This 460-nucleotide ribosomal RNA is filed under the name uncultured bacterium. RNAcentral describes it as "partial 16S ribosomal RNA". It matches the Rfam family "Bacterial small subunit ribosomal RNA", at positions 338 to 795 of the family's 1533-position model. The record is from RNAcentral.
CCUACGGGUGGCUGCAGUGAGGAAUAUUGGUCAAUGGCCGGAAGGCUGAACCAGCCAUGCCGCGUGAAGGUCAGUGCCCUAUGGGCGUUAAACUUCUUUUGUGCGGGAGCAAUAAUGGUCACGUGUGGCCAGACGAGAGUACCGUACGCAUAAGCAUCGGCUAACUCCGUGCCAGCAGCCGCGGUAAUACGGGGGAUGCAAGCGUUAUCCGGAUUUAUUGGGUUUAAAGGGUGCGUAGGCUGUGAGGUAAGUCAGCGGUGAAAUGCCCCGGCUCAACGGGGUGAAGUGCCAUUGAUACUGGCUGGCUGGAAUGCGGAUGCGGUGGGAGGAAUGUGUGGUGUAGCGGUGAAAUGCAUAGAUAUCACACAGAACACCGAUUGCGAAGGCAUCUCACGAAUCCGCGAUUGACGCUGAUGCACGAAAGCGUGGGUAUCAAACAGGAUUAGAUACCCGGGUAGUC